RNAcentral lists this unclassified non-coding RNA (223 nucleotides) under uncultured fungus. RNAcentral's name for it is "sequence contains ITS2". The record is from RNAcentral. Lineage: Eukaryota; Fungi.
AACGCACAUUGCGCCCUUUGGCAUUCCGAAGGGCAUGCCUGUUCGAGCGUCAUUUCGUCCAUCAAGCUCUGCUUGGUCUUGGGUGAGGUGUUGUAACCCACCCGCAACCCAUUCGCGGAGGUCGUUUCAAUCCCGGCGUAGCAAGUCUUUCGCUCGGACGAAGCGGUCCUUUUCGUUUCGAAAUUUUGACCUCGGAUCAGGUAGGAAUACCCGCUGAACUUAA